GAGGAGGACAGAGCAGAGUCUGUGGACAGGGACGAGACGCCAGCUGGUCCUGCAGAGUCCAGACCCACAGCAGAGUCUUCAGGAUCCAGCAGGUUGUCUCUGAAGAGUGACUGGUCCAAAGGUGAUCUGCUGGACUUCAGUGGUGAACCUGGACCUUCAGACACAAAACCCACAGCAGAGUCUUCAGGAUCCAGCAGGUUGUCUCUGAAGAGUAACCGGUCCAAAGGUUAUCCACCAGACUUCAGUGUUGAACCUGGACCUUCAGACACAAAAGAGAAGAAGAGCAGUGAUGUCUGUGAGGAGCAGCAGGACCAGGGUUCUUCAUC
Long non-coding RNA from Salarias fasciatus (jewelled blenny), 326 nucleotides. RefSeq lists it as uncharacterized. NCBI's taxonomy places the organism in Eukaryota, Metazoa, Chordata, Actinopteri, Blenniiformes, Blenniidae. The record is from RefSeq and is a predicted model, not a curated record. The transcript is spliced from 4 exons.